AUUGAACGCUGGCGGCAGGCUUAACACAUGCAAGUCGAGCGGGGGAAGGUAGCUUGCUACCGGACCUAGCGGCGGACGGGUGAGUAAUGCUUAGGAAUCUGCCUAUUAGUGGGGGACAACAUCUCGAAAGGAAUGCUAAUACCGCAUACGUCCUACGGGAGAAAGCAGGGGAUCUUCGGACCUUGCGCUAAUAGAUGAGCCUAAGUCGGAUUAGCUAGUUGGUGGGGUAAAGGCCUACCAAGGCGACGAUCUGUAGCGGGUCUGAGAGGAUGAUCCGCCACACUGGGACUGAGACACGGACCAGACUCCUACGGGAGGCAGCAGUGGGGAAUAUUGGACAAUGGGGGGAACCCUGAUCCAGCCAUGCCGCGUGUGUGAAGAAGGCCUUAUGGUUGUAAAGCACUUUAAGCGAGGAGGAGGCUACUCUAGUUAAUACCUAGGGAUAGUGGACGUUACUCGCAGAAUAAGCACCGGCUAACUCUGUGCCAGCAGCCGCGGUAA
RNAcentral lists this ribosomal RNA (501 nucleotides) under uncultured bacterium. RNAcentral's name for it is "partial 16S ribosomal RNA". It matches the Rfam family "Bacterial small subunit ribosomal RNA", at positions 30 to 523 of the family's 1533-position model. The record is from RNAcentral.